RNAcentral lists this long non-coding RNA (804 nucleotides) under Olea europaea subsp. europaea. Lineage: Eukaryota; Viridiplantae; Streptophyta; Magnoliopsida; Lamiales; Oleaceae. The record is from RNAcentral.
GGGAGACCGACUGACUUAUUAUUCAGUACAAUAUUAAAGUGGUUGACAUUCAUUCAAUGGAAGAUUGCAUCUACUUUAACAAUAUAGUUGCAAAAUCACCACAAACUUAUUUCUAUUUUUCUGCUUCCUUAAGCCAUUUUACACAGGGCUCCAAUACUUUCACAAAGCUUUUCCUAUGUAGCAAUGUAAAUAAAAAUAAUUAGGUUAAAGCAUGUCAAAACUUAAACACGAUUACACGCUAAACAUACCCAACGUAUUUAUCCUACCGAUGGAAGAUAUAUGGCACUUCAUGAAUUUUUCUCACUUGGACAACGAAACAAACAAUUAGUAAGCAAAAUUGAUUUCUUCUAUUUUUUAGUUAGCAAGUAGCUAUAAUUUGUCAAAAGAAUUUCCAGCAAAAUUUGCAGAACAAAAAUAAAAAAUCCAGGCAAUAAAAUUCAAUAAGAUGAAGAAAUGAGAUAAAAGACGGGAAGACCUUGAGCGAUGUCUGAUUUUUGAGAAGAAAGUGAAGAGCCCAUAGCAGAAAGUGAGAAGAAAUUCAGUUUUCGACUUGUUUGGUGUCCCUAAUGCUAAAGAAAAUGGUGGUACAAAAUGGGACUUGGAUGAAAAGUUGGAUAGAGAGGUGAAGAAGCUCCUGCCAUGCUAUGUGAGGUCAAAUGGUGGUAUCAUUGCAGCAAGAUACAAUGAUGAAAGGUGAUGAUGUUGGAAUCUUCGUUGUUAAUGGCCAACAUAUCACGACCUUGUGCCUGUAAAAACAAUUGAGAUUGCACCUUCGGCUCGAUGGCUCCAUUCACUAGAAUGGAG